CCAAGGCUAAAUACUCCUGACUGACCGAUAGUGAACCAGUACCGUGAGGGAAAGGCGAAAAGAACCCCGGCGAGGGGAGUGAAAAAGAACCUGAAACCGUGUACGUACAAGCAGUGGGAGCUCGCUUAGGCGUGUGACUGCGUACCUUUUGUAUAAUGGGUCAGCGACUUAUAUUCUGUAGCAAGGUUAACCGAAUAGGGGAGCCGAAGGGAAACCGAGUCUUAACUGGGCGUUAAGUUGCAGGGUAUAGACCCGAAACCCGGUGAUCUAGCCAUGGGCAGGUUGAAGGUUGGGUAACACUAACUGGAGGACCGAACCGACUAAUGUUGAAAAAUUAGCGGAUGACUUGUGGCUGGGGGUGAAAGGCCAAUCAAACCGGGAGAUAGCUGGUUCUCCCCGAAAGCUAUUUAGGUAGCGCCUCGUGAAUUCAUCUCCGGGGGUAGAGCACUGUUUCGGCAAGGGGGUCAUCCCGACUUACCAACCCGAUGCAAACUGCGAAUACCGGAGAAUGUUAUCACGGGAGACACACGGCGGGUGCUAACGUCCGUCGUGAAGAGGGAAACAACCCAGACCGCCAGCUAAGGUCCCAAAGUCAUGGUUAAGUGGGAAACGAUGUGGGAAGGCCCAGACAGCCAGGAUGUUGGCUUAGAAGCAGCCAUCAUUUAAAGAAAGCGUAAUAGCUCACUGGUCGAGUCGGCCUGCGCGGAAGAUGUAACGGGGCUAAACCAUGCACCGAAGCUGCGGCAGCGACGCUUAUGCGUUGUUGGGUAGGGGAGCGUUCUGUAAGCCUGCGAAGGUGUGCUGUGAGGCAUGCUGGAGGUAUCAGAAGUGCGAAUGCUGACAUAAGUAACGAUAAAGCGGGUGAAAAGCCCGCUCGCCGGAAGACCAAGGGUUCCUGUCCAACGUUAAUCGGGGCAGGGUGAGUCGACCCCUAAGGCGAGGCCGAAAGGCGUAGUCGAUGGGAAACAGGUUAAUAUUCCUGUACUUGGUGUUACUGCGAAGGGGGGACGGAGAAGGCUAUGUUGGCCGGGCGACGGUUGUCCCGGUUUAAGCGUGUAGGCUGGUUUUCCAGGCAAAUCCGGAAAAUCAAGGCUGAGGCGUGAUGACGAGGCACUACGGUGCUGAAGCAACAAAUGCCCUGCUUCCAGGAAAAGCCUCUAAGCAUCAGGUAACAUCAAAUCGUACCCCAAACCGACACAGGUGGUCAGGUAGAGAAUACCAAGGCGCUUGAGAGAACUCGGGUGAAGGAACUAGGCAAAAUGGUGCCGUAACUUCGGGAGAAGGCACGCUGAUAUGUAGGUGAAGUCCCUCGCGGAUGGAGCUGAAAUCAGUCGAAGAUACCAGCUGGCUGCAACUGUUUAUUAAAAACACAGCACUGUGCAAACACGAAAGUGGACGUAUACGGUGUGACGCCUGCCCGGUGCCGGAAGGUUAAUUGAUGGGGUUAGCGCAAGCGAAGCUCUUGAUCGAAGCCCCGGUAAACGGCGGCCGUAACUAUAACGGUCCUAAGGUAGCGAAAUUCCUUGUCGGGUAAGUUCCGACCUGCACGAAUGGCGUAAUGAUGGCCAGGCUGUCUCCACCCGAGACUCAGUGAAAUUGAACUCGCUGUGAAGAUGCAGUGUACCCGCGGCAAGACGGAAAGACCCCGUGAACCUUUACUAUAGCUUGACACUGAACAUUGAGCCUUGAUGUGUAGGAUAGGUGGGAGGCUUUGAAGUGUGGACGCCAGUCUGCAUGGAGCCGACCUUGAAAU
This 1753-nucleotide ribosomal RNA is filed under the name Escherichia coli O26:H11. RNAcentral describes it as "bacterial LSU rRNA". It matches the Rfam family "Bacterial large subunit ribosomal RNA", at positions 460 to 2198 of the family's 2925-position model. Lineage: Bacteria; Pseudomonadati; Pseudomonadota; Gammaproteobacteria; Enterobacterales; Enterobacteriaceae. The record is from RNAcentral.